This 8121-nucleotide long non-coding RNA is filed under the name Physcomitrium patens. RNAcentral describes it as "long non-coding RNA (PPAT_LNC011601)". Lineage: Eukaryota; Viridiplantae; Streptophyta; Bryopsida; Funariales; Funariaceae. The record is from RNAcentral.
UGGCUGUGGAAGGUAGAAUGGAAAUUACUACAACAAAAUCCUAAUUCUAAUUGAACACUAACAAUGCUAAACAAACUUUAUUCAAAUUCAGCAAAACUUCAAAAGAAUUACAAAGAAACAAUAAGAAAUCUUAAAGAAAUAUUAGAAUGAUUACAAAUAUAUCUCAAAUACAUCUCAAUUCAAUCUUAAUUUAAUCCUAGUUGAAAUCCUAUUAGAUUUUAUUCAAAAUUUAGGCAAAAAAUUAAUUAAAUCUUAAAUCCUAAAUAUACUCAAAUAAAAUCCUAAACCAAAUUCUAACCAAAUCCUAAACCAAAUCCUAACCAAAUCCUAAUCCUAAAUCAAAUCCUAAUCAAAUCCUAAUUCUAAAUUAAAUCCUAAUCAAAUCCUAAUCCUAAAUCAAAUCCUAAUCAAAUCCUAAUCCUAAAUUAAAUCCUAAUCAAAUUCUAAAUCCUAAAUCAAAUCCUAAUCAAAUCCUAAUCCUAAAUCAAAUCCUAACCAAAUCCUAAUCCUAAAUCAAAUCCUAACCAAACUCUAAACCCUGAACCAAAUCCUAUUAAUUUCUACAAUAGAUUUAAACCUCAAUAACUAAUAAAUAAACUAUUUAUCUUAACUCAAAAUUUUCACACUUCUUAAAAACUAAGUUGAAAACAAGCACAAAAAAUUUGAAAAGGAUCAAAAUUACCAAAUAGACGAUAACCUCAAAAACGUACUCGAGUAUUGGCCGGCCUACUUCUCCAACCUUGAUGCCAAUCUCCCAAAGCCAAUAUCUCUCCUUUUCACAAUUCAAUUGAUUUCACACUUUUUAUAUACAUAGAAAAACAAGUCUACUAUCUUCACCUAUAAAUUUCACUCCAAUCCAACUAAUGGUUUGCAAGAAAUCUUAAAAACCCUCAUUGGACCUAAAAUUCUACUUUCUAAGACCUUGACCUACUUAAACCUCAAUAACCUUCAAUUCAAUUAUUAGAUCAAGCUAAAAUUUAUAAUACAUAUUAAUUACAACUAUAACCAUUAACCUCCAAAAUUUUUCUUGUAGAUCUAUUACAAAAUUCUUGAAAUCAUCCAAAACGCCAACCCUAUUUUAUUUCACAAAAUCCAAGUCAUCCAAAAAAAAACUUGACUUUGUUAAGCUCUUAAAAAGUCAUUAUGAAUCCAAAUCACCUAAAGCUAAUGCUCAUAAAAACCUUAUUUAGUCUGCUAUCAAAUUCCACUCUCCAAUCUACAAAAGAACCCCGGAGUCGUCGUCGAGACUUGGUUUUGUGCCUCAAGGUCUGAUUUUGAUCCUAGUUCAUAACUAGCCCUCUUUGGAUAUCAAUAUCUAAUUUUUCUAAAUAAAUUUUGCUAGAAUUUACUCUUAACUUCUUUCUAAAGAUGCCUAUAUCAUUUAUUUUUCUAAUCUACUUUGUUUUGCCUUAUUUAUGGUCCUACAAAGUAAGUAGAAGUUAAUUUUAAAAAAAGCAGCAUUGGUACCUUUUUUGUUUUACUACCCUUUUGACUAUUAACUAUAUUUUUAAGAUAAUUUUUUCUAAUACUUUGAACUAAGAUCUCCUACAUUAUAAUAAUUUCAACACUCUUUCACCUAUUAUUCAUGUUACAUCAUGACAUCUACCUUUCCUAAAUGUGUGCAUCCUCUGACAUGUACCAAUGUUUCUUGAAUAUGUUGAUGUAGAAUGUUCUUCAUCUUGGUCUAAUUCUUGAUCUUCAAUAUGCUCUUCUAUUCCAAUCUCAAUAUCUUGUAUUGGAAUUUUUUCUUCAUCAAAACAAAUGUCUUCAACUCUUUGUUUAAAUAACUUGAUUCAUUUGCCUAGUAUGAGUACCUUCAAUUUUGUACCAUCAAGUUCUUGUAAUAAAUAUAUUCCAUUGUUGUAUGUCCUUUUGACAAUAUAAAGCCCAAACCAUCUCUUUGCAAACUUCUUUGUAGUGCUAUGUUGAUUGUCUAAGCUACUAUCAUAAAUUAAUAUCCAAUCACCAUCUUCAAUUGUCUUAGGUCAUAGUUGAUGUUGUCCUUGCUUCUUUCAAUUUUCUAUUGCUACUUCAAUAUCGUUAGGUCUUCUUUUUAGUUGUUGAAUCUGUAAUGCUAAAAGUUCUUCUCUGUUGAAAUCAUUCUUUCAAGGCAAUACAUUCCAUGUAGGUACUACAUGUUUUAUUAGCAUUACUAGUUUUUACCCAUAUAUUAAUUCAAAAGGCAUAUAAAUUAUUACUAAACUAUGAGUUGUACGAUCUAUCCAUAGUAUAAAUGAUAGUAGUCUAGGCCAUCCAUGUACUUUGCUAUUUCAUGCCUUUACUAAUGCCUUAACAAUAGGUGAAUAUCCAUGCUUACUUUUACUAUUACCUUUUGGAUUAUAUACUGUUGUUAAAAAAAGUUUAAUUCCUAUUCUACUAAAGAAUUCUUGUGCUUCCUUUGCAUCCAAUUCACUCCUAUCCGCCAUGAUUUUUUCAAUACAACAUAAUGACAAAUAACCUCUUCUAAUAGAAAUCAACAUACAUCUUUAAUAUCCUUUGUUCUUAAUACUCGUCUUUCAACUAUAUUUGAUAAAUCUUCUUAUGCAAGUACAAAAUACUUCAUUUGUCCAAGUUUCAUAGGCAUUGCUACUAAAUCCACCACCCACUUAUAAUAUAAAGUCAAAAGAUAUGCUGGAUGUAAUCCAUCUUGAUGUCGAAUAUUUGAAUAUACUUAAUAAAUGUUAUCCAAAUGCCUUGAUGCCUUGCCCAUAAAUUUUCAUGAAAUUCUUUAAUAAUCCUUUGUUGAGCUUCUAAACCACAUAUCAUCUUUUGUAGUACUUCUCCUCUCUUUUUGGAUGCUUCCAUAAAUAUCUAUCAUGUAAAAAAUAUCCAUAGGCUUUCUUAUGGAUUUUCUUAAAUUCUUGAUUUGUCUAAACUUUUUGUUGCUUUAAUAUGCUCAAAUACUCUCCAACAUCUUUCCAUUCAAUUUCAUAUAAAUCUCUUAAAAAUAUUUCCAAUGGUAUAUUCAAACAUACAUAUUUUUUUUUGAUAAUGCAUUAGUAUGAAAUUUUGUAUCCACAUCAUCUUCCAAAUCAAUCAUCUCUUCUUUAUCAUUAUACCUUAAUCUUGAUAACAUAUUUACAACCAAAUUUUCUUUCUCUGUAAUAUAUUUAAAUUUUAGAUUCAUAGAUUUGAUAUAUGCUAUCCACCUUAACAUAGAAAUAUCAUGAGUUGAACAACUUAUAAUCAUACCUAACAAAGAUAGACAAUCUCUUUCUAUAACUACUCAUACUCCAAUUAAUUAGUCUUUUUCAUUUUUCAUAGCUAUUACUACACUCCAUAAUUCUCUUUUGAUUUACACAUAUAUUCUUUGCUUGGAAUUCAAUAAAUUUCUUCCAAAUCUUACUAUAUAUCUAUUCCCUUAUUCAUCAUCUUGUCCAACUGCUCAACCUAUUCCAAUUGAACUUGCAUCAACUAUUAAUACUAAUGGCCUUCUACCUUCAUAAUUUACUUUCUUCAAAGUUAGAGAUGAAGAAAGAAUUUUUUUUAAUUUUUUCAUAGCUUUCCAUUGUUCUUCUUUCUAUUGAAAUUUUUGAUUCUUUCUUAAUAACUCAUACAAUGGAUCUAUUAUAUGUGCAAAGUGAGGUAUCCAUAUAUGAUAGAAAAUAUAUAUUCCUAAAAAUCUUCUCACUUCCAUUAUAUUUGUAUAUUCUUUUAUCUUUUUAAUAAUAUCAAUCUUUUCUAUACUUGGCUUGCGUCCAUAUGAACCACACAUGUAUCCUACCACCAAAACUUCUUUUAUUCCAAACAUUGAUUUUACCCCUAAUAAGGUUAAAUAAUCUUCUUCUAACCUUUUCAAUAUCUUUUCACAAUCUUUAAUAUAAUCUGCUACAAACUUCUUACAUCCUUUUGAAUCCAAAGUCUCAUCUUUACUUUUUUCUUCAAAUCCCUUAAUUGGUACAACAUCUAAGAAAGGCAUUGGUAUUCUUGGAAUAAAAUCUCUUAACACCUUAUGCAUUCCAUUUAUCAUAUGUGCUACAGAAUUUGUAGCCCCUUGUGGUAAUAUGCACAUUUUAACCAAUCCUAAUGAAGUCUUCAUAAUUGUCAAAUCCCUACUUUGUAUUACCAAUUGAAAUUGAUCAUAAUCUAAAUAAAGAUCACCCAUUGAGUAGAUAGCUCUUCCAGCAAAUGCUUCUGUAAAUUCAUCUAUAAUUGAACUUGAAUCCAUAUUUAUAAUAAUCACUUUAUUUACGGGUUGCAUGCCUUGUAUAAAUCUCAUUGUUCCAUUUUUCUUUGGCACUGUAAAUCAUCGAUUAGAAUAAGGUGUCAUAGAUGAUUCUAAAAUUUCUAUUUUAAUCUUUUCAUUGAAUAAAUCUAUGAAUUUAGAUAAAUGUGCUCUUGGUACUGGAAUUGGUCGCAAAUUCCAUGGUUCAUGAUGAAUAUUAAAAAUAACCAUGGGUGCUAUAAUACUUGGAUCAAUACACCCAAUUUCAUGCCCUUCAAAUGCAAAAGCCUUUCUAUGACGUGAAAGCAUAUCCCUAAAACAUUUUUCUUCAUAUUUUGUCAAAAAUCCAUCACAUCUAACAUUUAAUCCAUUCAAUGUAACAUCCGUAAAUUUAUGCCUUAUCUUCCUUAGAUCUCUUAAAUUUGGUUGUGUCGAUGCUCUACUUAUCUUUUCUUCACAAUUUGAUGGUAAUGGCAAAGCUAUUGGUUUGACCUUUCUUGCUACUGAUUUAUACUUAGUUUCAACACAUACCUCUUGGUGACUUAAAUUUUAUAUAAACCCUUAAAUUUUAUUAUAAUUUUUUUUAGAAUAUACAUUAAUAACUCUAUUUUCUACUUAUAAUUUAUAUUAUAAUAGAUAAUUUAAUUCCUCCAUAAUAUUUUCAAAACCUACUUCUUCAUAUGCUCUUAAAAUAAAUACAUUUUCAACCAAUUCUCCAUUUUCUUUUAAGUUUUGCUCAAUAUUUUUAAUAUAACAUCUGUCCAUCUUUUUCAUCUUGUGAAUAGUCUUAAAAGUCAAUAUACAAUCUUGUGUCAUUCCAAUAAGUCCGGUAGAUAAUAUUUCUUCUUCUAAAUUAAGUGGAAGCAUUUCUUUCUCUAAUCCAUUGCAAUCCCGCCUUACAAUGGUGUGUGGUAAAAUCCCUCAAGGUCUUCAAAUUUCUCAUUUGAUAAUGAAUUCUUUCUCAACUUAUCACAAUUUCUUUCAUGAUUAGCGCAAACAGUUAAAAAUUGAACUGCUUUCAUCCCAUCUUGGCUUCUUAUUCUUACAUAGGCUGAACUAUCAUCCAUUACUUUUGUUUCCAUUCAUGUAGCAAUAAUAUAUGGUUUUCCUAAUAUAAUAGGAUAUGCAGAUAUGUCUUACACAAAGAAAUUUUGUUCAUGAAUAAUAUCUCCUAUUGUCACCUUGAUAUUUAAACAUACUCCAUACAAAUCUGAUUUUGAAUUAUUUGCUAUUCUUAUCAUCCACCCAUGCUUAGUAUCAAUAGGCCAUUUUUUCUUAUUAUAGAAUUCUUUUACCAUCAAAUUGAUUUCAAAACCAUGAUCAAUCAAUGCUACAACUAGUUCUUCUAAAUUCUCUAAUUUUAUCAAAGUUUUUGUAGUAGCCCUUACCCAAUGACUCUAGAAUAAUGGCUAGAAGCUUAAAUGACAUCUUUUUUUUUUGUAAAUCUUACUUGCAAGACAUCUCCAAACUUUUUUAGUUCAUCUACUUCAUCUUCAUUGCUUUCCAUUGCUCUUGUUUCUUGUGCAUUUAAUGUCAUAGAGUCUCCUAUAGAUUUUCAUUUUUUCUUUAUUAUAUCAAUAAUAACUUCAUGAAACUGAGGCUUUGUAAUUCCUAGAAUUUCACCAAUUGAAAAUUCAACCUUUCUACUUAGAAUCUGCUCCUCCAAUAUCUUCUUCAAAUCUGUAGUAGCUUCAAUAUUUGUUUAUAAUUUAUAAGAAGGAGCCUAUGCUUUUUCUUUUUCAAUUUUCCUUUUUUUUAUAGGAAUAUUCUUUAUUACCUCUUUAUGUAUAAAUUUCUUUUGUUGUCGUGCUUUUUCUCCCUUUGUAAUUCUUUUUGAAGGCCCUUCAUUAUUUUCAUCUCUCCUUCAUUUUUCUUCUAUUAACGCUUCAUGUUGACUCCUUGUAAUAUGAACAUGCAUAGAUAAUCUAUUUACUGGAUCAUCCCACUUAGUAAUUUGUCGAAUGUUAUUACCAACAUGUUUUAAAUUAUCUCUAGUAAAUUUUUUCCUUUCAGCAUAAUUCAUUGCACUUGUCGACAAAGAACUAGAUUCUUCUAAAAACUCAAGAUUUAUACUUAAAUAUUUACUAGGAUUUGCUUCCACCUAAUAUAUUGAUGCUUCAUUGUUUGAGAUUGUAUGCACUUUAAAAGUAUCUCCAAAAAAUAACUUCAUUCUUCCUUUAUCAAAAUUUUAUUUUUAAUUUUUCUCCACUUUCUUUUAAGUGUAUCAUAUCAUCUUUAAAAAAAACAACUCCUUUACGUAAUGCCUAUGUAAAAUCUUCACAUUCCCUCUUUGAAUGAUCUAUGCUAUCACACCACAUGUACUUAUGUACUACACCCUCCAUUGGCCUUAGUCUUUGUUUUUGUUGAUACUCUUGAUGAUUGACCCUUCUCUUCAAGUUUUGCAAAUUUUAUUUACAAAUCUUUCAUUCAACGUAUGAUUUUAUUGAUGCUCAUUUCUUCUUUCUUUGAUGUAGCCAUUGAAGGUUGAAUCAAAGAUGUUGGAUGGGUACUAGACACCUUUACCUUAGAUGCUUAUAAUGGUCUUUGAAUACCCACCCUAUCUUUUUUUCUUUUUCUUUUUGCUAAUAAUCCUACUACCUACUCUAUUUCUUUCUAAUUUGUUGUUAAUCCUUCAUCUUCUUCUUUAUUUUCAAGUAAGAUUUCCAACUUCUCUUGUAACUCUCUAUCAGCUGCUUGAAGAAAGAGCUCCAUCUUACUUAGGUUCAACAAUUGUCUUUCUUUCUUUGAUAAAGAAUAAUAUUGCUUUUCAAACUUUUUUAAUAAUUUUGUUGCUAGAAGAUCCUUCUCUAGCCUUUCAAUCCAUUCAAAAAAAGACUUUUUUGUAACCAUGUCACUAUCUUCUAAGAAAAAUUCAUCCUUCAAUGCUUGAGAAAAUUUCUCCCAUAAACCUCCAAAAUGUCCUAUAAGAGACUUUACUUGGUUUUUUUAUCUCUUUUGUAGAGGCUAAUUCAAAUAAUUGAACCAUCUUUCUUUCUAAAACAUGCUUCAAUUCCAUUUCUUUAAUAUAACAUCUUAAAUAUUUUAUAAUAUAUUUUCCUUCAAAUUGAUUGAUCUUAUCCACAACCGCUCAUAAUGCUUUGAAAGCCUCAAACAUACUUGUAGAGUUAGGAUUAAAAUACAUAACUUAUCCUUCAAUUGAAGCUCCACUUCCAACUCCACUUGAAGCACUAUAAAAAAUUCCUCCUUCCAUCUUCUUGCUUUCUUUCUCCAAAAUUCAAAUAAUUCAAGAAAACCAAAUUCCUUCUACUUCAAGCAUUUUAUGUCGGAUUCACCAAAUAUAUUGUAAUAUGUGAAGUCUUGCUUAAAAAUGCUUUAGGUACCUAGCUAUGGAAGGUAGAUUAGAAAUUGCUAUAACAAAAUCAUAAUUCUAAUAAAAUACUAACAAUGCUAAACAAACUUUAAUCAAAUUCAGCAAAACUUCAAAAGAAUUACAAAGAAAUAAUAAGAAAUCUUAAUGAAAAAUUAGAGUGAUUACAAAUAUAUCUCAAAUACAUCUCAAUUCAAUCUUAAUUUAAUCCUAGUUGAAAUCCUAUUGGACUUCAUUCAAAAUUUAGGCCAAAAACUAACUAAAUCUUAAAUCCUAAAUAAAUUCAAAUAAAAUCUUAAAUCAAAUCCUAACCAAAUUCUAACCCUAAAUCAAAUCCUAAUCAAAUCCUAAAUCCUAAAUCAAAUCCUAAUCAAACCUUAAAUCCUAAACCGAAUCCUAAAUUCUAAAUCAAAUCCUAAUAAAAUCCUAAAUUCUAAAUCAAAUUCUAACCAAAUCCUAAAUUCUAAACCAAAUCCUAAAUCCUAAAUCAAACCCUAACCAAAUUCUAAUCCUAAAUCAAAUCCUAACCAAAUUCUAACCCUAAAUCAAAUCCUAACCAAACUCUAAACUGUGAAUCAAAUCCAAUUAAUUUCUACAAUAGAUUUAAACCUCAAUAACUAAUAAAUAA